RNAcentral lists this ribosomal RNA (61 nucleotides) under Fulvia fulva. RNAcentral's name for it is "Passalora fulva partial 18S ribosomal RNA". The record is from RNAcentral. Lineage: Eukaryota; Fungi; Ascomycota; Dothideomycetes; Mycosphaerellales; Mycosphaerellaceae.
GGUCGGCGUGAGCCCUCACUCAGUAAUGAUUUCCGUAGGUGAACCUGCGGAGGGAUCAUUA